This 116-nucleotide non-coding RNA is filed under the name Lonsdalea britannica. RNAcentral's name for it is "Ribosomal S15 leader". It matches the Rfam family "Ribosomal S15 leader". Rfam says of the family: The E. coli Ribosomal S15 gene 5' UTR can form two alternative structures. One that is a series of three hairpins, The other includes a pseudoknot. The record is from RNAcentral. Lineage: Bacteria; Pseudomonadati; Pseudomonadota; Gammaproteobacteria; Enterobacterales; Pectobacteriaceae.
GGUAGCUGAAUUAGAGAUCGGCACCCUUUUUAUCUUAUAUAAUAUUAUUGGAGUUCUACUAUGUCUCUAAGCGUUGAAGCUAAAGCAAAAAUCGUUGCAGAUUUCGGUCGUGAUGC